Long non-coding RNA from Rosa chinensis, 375 nucleotides. RefSeq lists it as uncharacterized. NCBI's taxonomy places the organism in Eukaryota, Viridiplantae, Streptophyta, Magnoliopsida, Rosales, Rosaceae. The record is from RefSeq and is a predicted model, not a curated record. The transcript has 3 exons.
AGUCUUGCUUUAAAGAUUCAAGAUCAAUGUCUCAAGCUCUUCAUCAUCCACUCCCUUCAUGGGUUAAAUUAUGCGCUCCCAAGUGCGCGUCAAGUAACAGCAGAAACAGCAGGGUGAAUAGAUGACAAGAGAGUACCAACAAAUGGAACUGAAGCUUCAUGGGUCUUAGGAUUCAAAUGUUGUGAAUCAACCACUCUGAUUGCUCCCCAAAGGCUCUGAACAGUCGGAGGGAACUCCUUGGAAUUUCGGCGCUUUUGACUCAUCGAUCGAACUCCCAGAGGCACUGCUAGUGCCACAUCUUUUAUGCUUUUUUGGUACAUUGGAGUAAAUAAUGGUGAAAUGAGCAUUAUGUCCACACUUACCUACAAAUGGUGG